GGAAGCAAAAGUCGUAACAAGGUUUCCGUAGGUGAACCUGCGGAAGGAUCAUUAUUGGAUUUUGAAACUUCAGGCUGCUGCUGGCUCUCCUCGGAGGGCAUGUGCACGCUUGUUGUCCAUUAUUUCUCCCACUGUGCACAAAUUGUAGACCUUUCAGUAGGCCUAUGUUGUUUUUCACAAUCUCUGAAUGUAAUAGAAUGGUUUUGAAUCUUGGGAAAUACAAUACAACUUUCAGCAACGGAUCUCUUGGCUCUC
Molecule: unclassified non-coding RNA, 255 nt
Filed under: plant metagenome
Description: partial contains small subunit ribosomal RNA, internal transcribed spacer 1, and 5.8S ribosomal RNA
Rfam family: Eukaryotic small subunit ribosomal RNA (bases 1-54)
Source: RNAcentral